GACGAACGCUGGCGGCGUGCUUAACACAUGCAAGUCGAACGGUGAAGCGCCUUCCUUUUUGGUGGGUGUGGAUGAGUGGCGAACGGGUGAGUAACACGUGAGUAACCUGCCCCCUUCUUCUGGAUAACCGCAUGAAAGUGUGGCUAAUACGGGAUAUUCUGGGUCUGUCGCAUGAUGGGUCUGGGAAAGAUAUUGUUUCGGUGGGGGAUGGGCUCGCGGACUAUCAGCUUGUUGGUGGGGUGAUGGCCUACCAAGGCGGUGACGGGUAGCCGGCCUGAGAGGGUGGACGGUCACACUGGGACUGAGACACGGCCCAGACUCCUACGGGAGGCAGCAGUGGGGAAUAUGGCACAAUGGGCGCAAGCCUGAUGCAGCGACGCCGCGUGAGGGAUGGAGGCCUUCGGGUUGUGAACCUCUUUCGCCAGUGAAGCAGGCCUGCCUCGUUUGUGGGUGGGUUGACGGUAGCUGGAUAAGAAGCGCCGGCUAACUACGUG
RNAcentral lists this ribosomal RNA (494 nucleotides) under uncultured bacterium. RNAcentral describes it as "partial 16S ribosomal RNA". It matches the Rfam family "Bacterial small subunit ribosomal RNA", at positions 28 to 507 of the family's 1533-position model. The record is from RNAcentral.